GUGAGCUGAUGAAAGUCUGUGAUUCGUUGCUACUUUAGCUGCAGGAUUUCAAACAGAACUGAACUGUGCAGUCAAAAUGUUUCUAAUGUUUUCAGAAUCGUUCUGGAGGUUCAUCAUUGUGUCUGUGGGUUUAGCAGCACUCAUAAUAAUUGUUGUGGCAGUCAACAUCUGGACAAGAACUAAAGGGACAAAAACACAGAUGGAUGAAAACACAGUGAAUAAUGAUGAAGAUGAAGAUGAUGGUGUG
Long non-coding RNA from Micropterus dolomieu (smallmouth bass), 247 nucleotides. RefSeq lists it as uncharacterized. NCBI's taxonomy places the organism in Eukaryota, Metazoa, Chordata, Actinopteri, Centrarchiformes, Centrarchidae. The record is from RefSeq and is a predicted model, not a curated record. The transcript has 3 exons.